This 497-nucleotide ribosomal RNA is filed under the name uncultured bacterium. Its description in RNAcentral is "partial 16S ribosomal RNA". It matches the Rfam family "Bacterial small subunit ribosomal RNA", at positions 29 to 523 of the family's 1533-position model. The record is from RNAcentral.
AUUGAACGCUGGCGGCAGGCCUAACACAUGCAAGUCGAGCGAGAAAGGCCUUCGGGCUGAGUAGAGCGGCGGACGGGUGAGUAACGCGUAGGAAGCUACCCGGUAGCGGGGGAUAACUCGGGGAAACUCGAGCUAAUACCGCAUACGCCCUGAGGGGGAAAGCGGGGGACCGUAAGGCCUCGCACUAUCGGAUGCGCCUGCGUCGGAUUAGCUGGUUGGUAGGGUAACGGCCCACCAAGGCGACGAUCCGUAGCUGGUCUGAGAGGAUGAUCAGCCACACUGGGACUGAGACACGGCCCAGACUCCUACGGGAGGCAGCAGUGGGGAAUAUUGGACAAUGGGGGCAACCCUGAUCCAGCCAUGCCGCGUGUGUGAAGAAGGCCUUCGGGUUGUAAAGCACUUUCAGCGGGGAGGAAAGGGCGCUGGUUAACACCCGGCGCAGUUGACGCUACCCGCAGAAGAAGCACCGGCUAACUCCGUGCCAGCAGCCGCCGUAA